GUCACAUAUUUUCUUCUAACAAUUAUUCUUCCUCCAAUUUUCUGCAGGGUAUAUAUUUAUUGCCUUGUUCUCCACUUAUUUUAGGACCUACCCAUAGCUUCCAGAAUUGCCUGAGGUAUGAGGAAGGUGAUUAGUACUUUUUCUUGUCACAUUAUAACCUGUGACACCAGUAAAACCCUCGUUUUAACUCUAUUCUCUUGCUAACCCAGCAUAAUUCUUGUCCUUGUGUACAGGUAUAGUGGAGGAUUACAAGCCACCAUUCUACGAUGUGGUUCCCAAUGACCCAAGUUUUGAAGAUAUGAGGAAAGUAGUCUGUGUGGAUCAACAGAGGCCAAACAUACCCAACAGGUGGUUCUCAGACCCGACAUUAACCUCUCUGGCCAAGCUGAUGAAAGAAUGCUGGUAUCAAAAUCCAUCUGCAAGACUCACAGCUCUGCGCAUCAAAAAGACUUUGACCAAAAUUGAUAAUUCCCUAGACAAAUUGAAAACUGACUGUUGACAGUUUCAUGGUGUCAAGAAGGAAGAUUUGACAUUGUUGUUGUUGUCCAGCUGGGACCUAAUGCUGGCCUGACUGGUUUCAGAACAGAAUCCUCCCCAAAUGGCUGCUUUGACAAGGCUGACAUCCUACCCAGCCAUGUGUUGGGGAGAAACAAAAACCACCCUAACCUCGCUCAAUGACUGUGAACUGGGCAUUUCACGAACUGUUCAGACUGCAGAGACUGAUGUUGGACAGACACUGUUGCAAAGGUAGGGAACUGGAGGAACACAGAGAAAUCCUAAAAGAGAUCUGGGCAUUAAGACAGUGGCUUUGCAUAUCUUUCACAAGCCUCCUAGACACUCCCCACGGGAAACUCAAGGAGGCGGUGAAUUUUUAAUCAGCAAUAUUGCCUGUGCUUCUCUUCUUUAUUGCACUAGGAAUUCUUUGCAUUCCUUACUUGCACUGUUACUCUUAAUUUUCAAGACCCAACUUGCCAAAAUGUUGGCUGCGUACUUCACUGUUCUGUCUUUGGAUAAUAGGAAUUCAAUUUGGCAAAACAAAAUGUAAUGUCAGACUUUGCUGCAUUUUACACAUGUGCUGAUGUUUACAAUGAUGCCGAACAUUAGGAAUUGUUUAUACACAACUUUGCAAAUUAUUUAUUACUUGUGCACUUAGCAGUUUUUAGAAAACUGCUUCGUGCAUAUGUUAAAGCUUAUUUUUAUGUGGUCUUAUGAUUUUAUUACUGAAUUGUUUUUAACACUAUACUCUGAAAUGGACAUUUUCUUUUAUUAUCAGUUAAAUUCACAUUUUAAGUGCUUCACAUUUGUAUGUGUGUAGACUGUAACUUUUUUUCAGUUCAUAUGCAGAACGUAUUUAGCCAUUACCCAUGUGACACCACCGAAUAUAUUACUGAUUUAGAAGCAAAGAUUUCAGUAGAAUUUUAGUCCUGAACGCUGUGGGGAAAAUGCAUUUUCUUCAGAAUUAUCCAUUAUGUGCAUUUAAACUCUGCCAGAAAAAAAAAAUAACUAUUUUGUUUUAAUCUACUUUUUGUAUUUAGUAGUUAUUUGUAUAAAUUAAAUAAACUGUUUUCAAGUCAAA
This is a long non-coding RNA of Galeopterus variegatus (Sunda flying lemur), 1576 nucleotides long. RefSeq lists it as uncharacterized. The record is from RefSeq and is a predicted model, not a curated record. Lineage: Eukaryota; Metazoa; Chordata; Mammalia; Dermoptera; Cynocephalidae. The transcript has 2 exons.